Molecule: long non-coding RNA, 893 nt
Organism: Amblyraja radiata (thorny skate)
Lineage: Eukaryota; Metazoa; Chordata; Chondrichthyes; Rajiformes; Rajidae
Exons: 3
Source: RefSeq, a predicted model, not a curated record
CUCCAUCCCUCUCUCUCCAUCCCUCUCUCCUCCCUCUCUUUCUCCCACUUCCACCUUCCUCCUCUCUAACAAACUUCCCACGACUCCACUGUUCACGUCGCCCCCCCACGGCCGCGCUGGAAACUGCAUGGAGCCGCCAGCCCCCCGGCGGUGGAGGGUGGAUGUGCAGGCACCCGGGGUUGGGCGAGUUUAGCCCCAGAGACACGGACUCUCCUUCCAGUCCCUCUCUCCACUAUUCCAGUGCUCCCUCUCAUAAUGCGCAAGGAGCAUUACGUGCAGUUUUGGUCUCCCUGCGAGAGGAAGGAUGAGCUGAAAAAGGCGCAGAUAAGUUGUACUUGGAUGUUACCAGGACACGGUGGCCUGAGCUUUUAGGGAGGCGUUGAGGAGUGUAUUCCUUGGAGCGCAGGAGGAUGAGAACUGAUCUUAUAGGGAGGUUUCACGGCAGUCGGGUCACGACCCAUGACCCGUACUGUUGCUACGCUACGCCAAGUGGAGUACACGCGAUGAACUGCAGAUAAUCUCAAUCUCAAAAAUUAUGAGGCUGGACAUUCAGAUCUUUUUUCCCAGGAUGGAAAAUUCAAACACUAGAGGGCAUAGCUUCAAGGGUAUGAAACAACUUGCACAAGAUGACGGGCUGAUCUGCAGUAUUCAUACUGUGGCAACGAAAGUUCCAAACAAUAUCCGUGGCUGCCUCCAUCAAAACUGGAGUUGGACCACAGAGCAAUCCAUUGCAUGUGUGAUUAUUGCAAGUAUUGAUAAAUAUUGUUGUGUAUGGUGUAAAAUAUUCAUGUAACCAGUUCAGUGGAAUUGUGUGUAAGCAAGAACUGCAGAUGCUGGAUAAAAUCGAAGGUAGACACAAAAUGCUGGAGUAACUCAGCGGGUGAGGCAGCAUC